Lytechinus variegatus (green sea urchin) is the source of this 1732-nucleotide long non-coding RNA. RefSeq lists it as uncharacterized. The transcript has 2 exons. Lineage: Eukaryota; Metazoa; Echinodermata; Echinoidea; Temnopleuroida; Toxopneustidae. The record is from RefSeq and is a predicted model, not a curated record.
CUCAGUAUAUUCGCUUCUAUUAUGAUUUGAAUAUUUACAGCGUUAGUUUUUAUUGGCUACACCAUAAAUAAUUCUGUGUAUUUCAUAGAAUGAAAAUCAGUCAGCGUAUUAUGAAGAGAUUAUAUAAACUCGAUGGAUAUGUCGUUAAAAACAUGAAAUGAUUAUGUUAUGUGAAACAUGUAAAAUAAUUAUGAUUGUGCAAAAUAAUCUAUACUCUCAGAGUAAAGCACUUUUUGUUGACGCAAAAAAUAUCCGAUUUCUCAAACUGAAUUGAUAACAUUCAUUAAGUCAAAAUUAAAACAAACACUUAAUUGGCGCAAAAUGUUGGUAUUAUAUUCAUCUCAAAUUAAAGAACGUUGGGUAAAAAAGCAAUCUGGUUUGAUAGAACGUUCUCUCUUUCUUUAAAUAGACGGGUUUACUAGAAAUGAAAUUCGUCUGUGAGAAGGUAUUUUAGUGAGAUUUGAGAUAUUUUACGUUUAUUGAUUCUUAUAGUUCUAAAUAUGCAAUAAAGAACAUUCAUAUUAAAAAUACAUCGUAAAAAAUGUCACAACGAGUUCGAUGCCAAUAAUAUACAUACUAUAAAAAAAAACUCGGAUGAAAGGAUAUUAAGGUGAAUAAAAGUGACUUUGUGUAAAAACAAAUGAAAUAGAGCGGACGGGCUUGCCAAGAAAAAGCCCAUGCUUGUAUGAUAAACAAACCCCUGUGUCUUACUUUCGAUAAUUAUAUGUAUUUUACAAAAUCAGUCAUACAAUAACGGAUAGAGACGGAAGAAGAUACCACCAAAAAAUAACAAUAUAUGAUAUAUCAAAAGUUAAAACGAAUGAAGUACAAACAUUCAUUAUAAAAAUAUAAUAUUCGCUUGAGAGAAACAUUAUGCCAGUGCAGGCAGCGAAUAGUUUAACCAACCUAUUUAGAAACCAAAUGAUAAAACUAUACAAUUUUUAUUCAUUCACUUAAAAUCCCCCUUCGUCAUCAUACCAAUAUGGUAUAAGCAAUAAAUGUCAAACUAAAAUAUUUCGCGUGACACAGAACAAAAUAUCGAAUAUAACUUAUAGACUAACUUGCCAGAAAUCCAUUUCCAAACGACAAAAACCUUAGUAUUCACGAAGAGAACAAAUUACUUUAUUUACCAAACUGAAGACAUCAGUGAUAUUUGUAUGGGGACAGUUAUCAUGGUUAUUGUUUUUCUAUCAAUGAAAUAUUUACAAAGUAUCCUUUUCAGUCUCAAUAGUUCUACAAGGUUGAACUUCAAAAUUCACGUGUACGAUGUUUUCUUUUAAUAAUAAUAAUAAUAAUUAGACCAUUUAUAUAGCGCAGUCACUAUAUAAAUAUACUCUACUGCGCUGUAGUGUGACAGAGCUCCCAACAAUGCUACUGCUCAAACAAAUUAAACAAAAAACUUCUGAAAAAAGAUGGGUCUUCAAUAAAUGUUUGAAGAUGGUAACAGUUGGUGCUUUUCGUAUUUCCAGGGGUAAUUUGUUCCAAAGCUUUGUACAGCACAACUGAAAGCACGAUCCCCAAGAGUUACUUUUUGUUCUCAAGUGAGGUAGCUUUAGAAGCAGCUUAUCCUGUGUACUUCGUAAGUUAUGUGCAUAUGAAUGUGACCUAAAUGAUAUUAAUUCAGACAAGUAAUUCGGAGCUUGACCAUUCAGUGCUUUGUAAACAAGCAAAAGUAUCUUAAAUGCAAUUCUCUGCCUUAUUGGCAACCAAUGUAAUUGAAUCAGAACAGGUG